This 329-nucleotide unclassified non-coding RNA is filed under the name soil metagenome. RNAcentral's name for it is "partial contains 5.8S ribosomal RNA, internal transcribed spacer 2, and large subunit ribosomal RNA". The stretch from base 1 to 120 matches the Rfam family "5.8S ribosomal RNA", at positions 35 to 154 of the family's 154-position model. The record is from RNAcentral.
GAUGAAGAACGCAGCGAAAUGCGAUAAGUAAUGUGAAUUGCAGAAUUCAGUGAAUCAUCGAAUCUUUGAACGCACAUUGUGCCCUCUGGUAUUCCGGGGGGCAUGCCUGUUCGAGCGUCAUUAUAACCACUCAAGCUCUCGCUUGGUAUUGGGGCUCGCGGUUCCGCGGCCCCUAAAAUCAGUGGCGGUGCCUGUCGGCUCUACGCGUAGUAAUACUCCUCGCGAUUGAGUCCGGUAGGUCUACUUGCCAGCAACCCCCAAUUUUUACAGGUUGACCUCGGAUCAGGUAGGGAUACCCGCUGAACUUAAGCAUAUCAAUAAGCGGAGGA